AUCUACCUGACGAGUCCCAAACAGGACGACACGCGCGUCCUAGAU
This 45-nucleotide non-coding RNA is filed under the name Schistosoma mansoni. Lineage: Eukaryota; Metazoa; Platyhelminthes; Trematoda; Strigeidida; Schistosomatidae. The record is from RNAcentral.